This 4561-nucleotide unclassified non-coding RNA is filed under the name Penaeus japonicus. RNAcentral describes it as "calmodulin, transcript variant X1". Lineage: Eukaryota; Metazoa; Arthropoda; Malacostraca; Decapoda; Penaeidae. The record is from RNAcentral.
AAAGGUAGAUGGUGCAAGUGUUCAGUCAAGGUGGUGAUAAGCAGGAGUGUGGAGUGGCGGGAGAUCGCAGUCACUCUGAGACAGUGGUGCUGAGCAGACGUCACUCGAUUGGCUUGUGAUACAUACACACACCCAAAAUGGCGGAUCAGCUGACCGAAGAACAAAUUGCCGAAUUCAAGGAGGCCUUCUCCCUCUUCGACAAGGACGGCGACGGCACCAUCACCACCAAGGAAUUGGGCACAGUCAUGAGGUCCCUGGGCCAGAACCCCACCGAAGCCGAACUCCAGGACAUGAUCAACGAGGUGGACGCUGACGGUAAUGGCACAAUCGACUUCCCCGAGUUCCUCACCAUGAUGGCCCGCAAAAUGAAGGACACCGACUCCGAGGAAGAGAUCAGGGAAGCCUUCAGGGUGUUCGACAAGGACGGCAACGGCUUCAUCUCUGCGGCCGAACUCAGGCACGUGAUGACCAACCUCGGAGAGAAGCUGACUGACGAGGAAGUCGAUGAGAUGAUCAGGGAAGCCGAUAUUGACGGCGACGGUCAGGUCAAUUAUGAGGAAUUCGUGCGAAUGAUGACUUCUAAGUAGUGACGCCACCUGCGGCCCCUCCCCCCCCGUCGGGCCGUGGCUGGCCGACCCUAACCCUUAAUAAUAGCUAGUUCGUCACGAUGAUGACCUCGAAGUGAAGUGACCGCGCCUCCUAAAUAUUGUAAACAAAUUUCAAACGAACAGUUUUUUCUGCUUUCCAAUUUAUCUUGUUAACGGACCGCUAAAAAAAAAAAACAUUGUAAUACACGAGUCGUCACUAUCUCUUAAUUGCUAACUCUUAUUGCCUUCAUAUACACGAUCUGGCUCUCGGCUAGAGUUUCCAGCAGCAGUAUCAAGCAGCCACCACCACCACCACCACUACUUCUACGUCUGCUACUACUACUACUACUACUACUACUUCUACUAUAACAACUACUUCCACUAUUACUACUUCCACUACUAUUACUCCUCCUAUUGCUCUACUACUACUAUGACCACGGCCCCCCUCCCUCCCUCCCCCAUCGCCCCUCCUCCAGCCUAACCCACCCCGCCAGCAGAACACCAGCUACAACAAGAACAAAAAACCACUAAAACAGCAACAAGCAAGCAAGCAAGCAAGCAAGCAGCUGCAACCAACACCUUUGUCCAGCUGCAAGCAAGUUGGGGCGCGACUUACCUCUCGUCCACCUGCGAAAUGAAAUUCGAAGCCAAAACGGACAAGCAAAAACUACAAUAAGAUCGAAAGGGGAAAAAAUAAACAACAAAACUCUUAACACCAUCUUUGAGACAACCAUUGGGAAAAAAGAAAUUGAAAGAUCUCUUAAAAAAAAAAAAAAAAAAACGAUGGAAAAGAGCGUGCAAGUGUGGGGUGUGCGCCAGACGAGGGCACGGAGGAUGCUGACGGGACGUGGCUGAACCUUAUCCCCUGGCAGGAGUAAGUGACUCUCUGUCAGUAGCGGUAGCGCCGUUAUAGAUGGGUUGGUUGUCCUAGGGAUUGCGUCACGGGUGGCUGGACCUCUGGAAAGAAAAAGGAAAAAAAAUAUAUUGCUAUUUAACCAGUGAUUAUAUAUAUAUACUACACAUACGUUUAUGUAUACUAUAUGAAUAUAUACGCGAAGUAGCAAGCGAUUAUAUUUUGUGAUGAAAGGUUAGGGAGGCUUCGUGGACGUCGUCGUCAGACCCAGCGGGACUGCCUGCAAGAUCUUGACGCCAGCGCCGUUACACCGCCUCAAGGUGUGUUUCUCCCACGUAACCGUUCGGGCGGCCGAGGCGCGACCCCGUGCCUCUCCCGAAGCCGCCGCGGCGGCGCCAUCCGACUGUUGUGGUUGCUGCCGCGAGCCAGGCUCGGUUCGGCCGGCCGCCCCGGGUGACCUCUUCACUUCCUCCACCUUGACGUCGUGAGGGUCGCCAGGUCGCUGGUCACGCGAGUGGCCGUGACCGGUGACGUAACGCUGGUCGAGGCGCCGUUGGGUACUGUCGCUGCGAAGACCUCUCGCCGUUAUCUCCUCCAUCAUUGUUGAACAACAGGAAGACUUUUUGAACACCGAGAGGCCAGCCACCCUUAACUCGUCUCUCAAGACUACUUGGCUCUUUCCUUAAGUUUUCAUUUUGUCUGUCCAGUUCUGAAUAAGAAUGGAAAUAUAUAUAUAAAAAAUAGGUUGGUCAGUUUUUACAAGCUGUUGUAGCAAAAUUAUUAUUUUUUAGUUGAGAGAACCAUUGCGUUCGUGAAAUAUAUUUGAUAAGAGGAUAGUAUCCCGUCUGGCCAAUGGUCAGGCUGGGUUACUUUGGACCUUUUUUGAAAUUCCUCUUAGAAUUUUUUUCUUUUUAAUGAAGAUCGCUGCCUUGCGAUGCCUUUUUUAUUUUUAGUUUGUCUGGAAGUCAGUUUCUCUGGUAAAUAAGAAAGGAAGGAGAGGGUGCGCUGUAUUUUUGUGUUGGUUGAAUGAAGUUGGUACAUUUCCGUAUCAUGUAAUUUCUUGUUAGGUGUGUCUUUGUCAAUUUUUCUUAAAGGAAUAGCAAAUGUAUACAUAUUGCAAAAAACAAAAAUGAAGUUGAAAAAAUUUCCUCUUGUACUACAUAAUACUAAUGUAAGGCACGUCACACAACCAUGACUGUUUCUGUUUCCCAACCACCACUUCCCUGCAUUGUUUACAUCACUUGUUUGUUAACAUUGCCGCUUUGUGCAAAGGCUCUGUUGCCUCUGCCAGCGAGCUUGACCACUUAUACUAUGAUUACGAUAGACCAUGCUGAUUAAAUAAUGGAUAUUAUGAUUAUAAUUAUUAUUGUGUAGGAGAAAUACAGUUCUUUCAAAACCAAGUUUUUUUCGUCUUUCUUACAACAUGUCAUGUAAAGAAAGUCUUUUUUUUUUUCUUUCAAUUCUUUCUUGCCAUGCUUAUCAGGGUCUCAACAGUUGACGGCGGAUUGUAGUUAAGCUUCUAAUUUUUGUUCUUGUCAAAGCCCAUUGGGGUGCAGCGCCCAGGGUGGUCACCAUGGCAACCACGCCCGCCUCCCAAUCACCCGGUCCUGGCUCCGCCCACCACCUUGGAGUGUGGGCGGGCGCUAGCAGGAUGGGUUGGGUGUGGGGUGGGCGUGCGGCGCCGGGUACCCACCCUGCUUGGCUAUUUUAGAUUCAUUUGGGGGAAUCCUUCUAUUGCUGGUGCGUUGGUGUAGUUACGUUGUGUAUCUCGACCCAGACACUGCGACACUCGACACAACUACACAACGUGAUGAACAUUCCUUUAAAACUUGCUAUGUUUUUUGCGGGGCGAGAGGACCCCGCCGUGGGUUUGGUGGGGCUCCUCGCGCCCACCACUCUUGUUUUAGUGUGGUACGAUAGGUGAGCGGAGACCUGCGGGGAGGGGGCGUGGAGGCACUCGCCGGUCUGCCCCCCUGGGCGUGCGUGCGUGUGUUCGUGCGUUCGUUCCUGGGGCGGGUGGUGGUGGCACUUGCCGGCGCCCCCCCCUCCCAGCCCUGCUCUAGGGGGGGCGGGGGAAGAGGGCGGGUGGCAGGGGGGCCCAGGGUGGAGGGGGGAGGCGUGGCGGGUGUGGGGGGGAGUGUGGGGGGAGAGGGAAGUGGUAAAUACGACCGAAAAAAAGGCUGCACGAGGCCGUAGUCAAGUUUACCACACCCUCUCCCACGCCUUCCUCCCGCUCCCCCCGCCCCUCCGCCCCGCGCCCCUGGCCCCCCUCGCUAGCCCCCUCCUUCCCCUCCCCUCUAAUGAGCGGGUUCGGGUAUGCAGUGGGUGUCCCUCCCCUCCCCGCCAGGCCCCGUACCCCCACCCCCUCAGCUAGUGAGACCCGGUACCGCAGAGCGUCCCCGCACUACCAUCACCACUAUAACACCAGCAGCAGCAGCAGCAGCAGUUGUUGCUCCUGUUGUCUCCGGGGUGUGGGCGGCGAGGGGCAGCUGUGCCGCCCGGCCGCCCCGUACCGCCCCAUCCACCCAUCACUGCACCAUUUAAAAAAAAGAAAAGAAAAAGGAAAAAAAAGUGUUAAUUAAUAUUAUUAGUUUUUGUCAUGUUUGGGCCCCCUUUUUUUAUAUAAACAUAUUUGACUUGUGAGCCUGUUUCCUCCUCCCGGCCGCUGGUGCCGCGUGCGCUGUGCCACCGCCGCGGCAGUAGCAAGUUGCCGCAGCUCCCGACAAGCCCAUUCGCUCUUUUCAAACAUUGCCGCAUUCGAGCUAAGGUUUCCUGGUGAAGGUGCAGGAGGGGCGGGCCGGAGCCCCAGCAGCCACCUUUAGCCUCCACCAGCCAGGCCCCUCCCCGUCCUUCGCCCCGCCCUCCGCCCCGCCCUCGGCCUAAGCCCCUCCCCCUGGCACCCACACGUGGCUCUGGGGGCGCUGGCCUCGGGCGGCGGACGGUGGUGGUGGUGGUGGUGGGCGGGUGGGCGGUGGGUGGGGUCGCACUAGUAUUGUUGGUAGUGGGUGUGGGUGGCGGGGGCGGGGGAGCCGCUGCGGAUGCUUCACCCCACCACCAGGACUCCAUUAGUAAUUUGAGGACCGGAUGUCAUGUUGUAUUGAAUAAAAAAGAUCAAGAAAGA